This 352-nucleotide unclassified non-coding RNA is filed under the name Hevea brasiliensis (rubber tree). The record is from RNAcentral. Lineage: Eukaryota; Viridiplantae; Streptophyta; Magnoliopsida; Malpighiales; Euphorbiaceae.
AAUAUACCCUCCACUCAUAUUGCUCCACACACACACUUUUUUAACUUUUGUUAGAGUUACAUAACUUUUCAACUUCAAAACAAAAAAAUUAAAACAAAAAAGAGAUUAUCAAAUCAUGGGCAUGGAUCUUCAAGUAACAAGGUAAGAAGACUCAAGGGACUGGACACUGAACUAAAAACAAAAGAUAAUAACACAUUAAUGAGAGUAUCCAUCAAAAGGAAAAAAGAGUGGAAAGCUAUCACACUAUCAGAAACUUAGAAACCUUGAACCAACAGGCAUUAAAUAAAUUGUCAGUAUCUAGGCACAAAAUAUUUUUUUGCUUGAGCAAAAGAUAUAGUCUAAUGUUGGACAU